UGUUUUCAUGAACAGAAUUUCCUAAUGUUGUCUUGCCUCUUGACCGCUGCAUUCGGGAGAGAACACAGAAGUGAGGAUGCUGUGAUUGUGACGAGGUGGAGCCCAAACGCCACAGAUUAAGACGUUGAUGCAGCAAUGGCGAACACCUGAAGCACACUCAAGAAGA
This is a non-coding RNA of Pimephales promelas (fathead minnow), 166 nucleotides long. NCBI's taxonomy places the organism in Eukaryota, Metazoa, Chordata, Actinopteri, Cypriniformes, Leuciscidae. The record is from RefSeq and is a predicted model, not a curated record.